GGUGGUUCUUGGGUGACACACCCCAGAACCAGAGAGGAGGGAGCCUGAUUCUGGGGUGUGUCACCUGAGAACCGCC
Non-coding RNA from Myotis brandtii (Brandt's bat), 76 nucleotides. The record is from Rfam. NCBI's taxonomy places the organism in Eukaryota, Metazoa, Chordata, Mammalia, Chiroptera, Vespertilionidae.